GUGUAAUUCUAAUUACUCUCAGGGCCUUGAACAAGACCCAGUGAACAAUUUUUGGAGACUCUCAGGAAUAGGGUG
Molecule: small nuclear RNA, 75 nt
Filed under: Caenorhabditis brenneri
Lineage: Eukaryota; Metazoa; Nematoda; Chromadorea; Rhabditida; Rhabditidae
Description: sRNA CBN33977
Rfam family: SmY spliceosomal RNA
Source: Rfam by way of RNAcentral